ACGGGAGGCAGCAGUGGGGAAUAUUGGACAAUGGGCGAAAGCCUGAUCCAGCGACGCCGCGUGAGUGAAGAAGCAUUUCGGUAUGUAAAGCUCUAUCAGCAGGGAAGAUAAUGACGGUACCUGACUAAGAAGCACCGGCUAAAUACGUGCCAGCAGCCGCGGUAGUACGUAUGGUGCAAGCGUUAUCCGGAUUUACUGGGUGUAAAGGGAGCGUAGACGGCAUGGCAAGUCUGAAGUGAAAGCCCGGGGCUCAACCCUGGGACUGCUUUGGAAACUGCUAAGCUAGAGUGCAGGAGAGGUAAGUGGAAUUCCUAGUGUAGCGGUGAAAUGCGUAGAUAUUAGGAGGAACACCAGUGGCGAAGGCGGCUUACUGGACUGUAACUGACGUUGAGGCUCGAAAGCGUGGGGAGCAAACAGGAUUAGAUACCCUGGUA
This 434-nucleotide ribosomal RNA is filed under the name uncultured Lachnospiraceae bacterium. Its description in RNAcentral is "partial 16S ribosomal RNA". It matches the Rfam family "Bacterial small subunit ribosomal RNA", at positions 341 to 792 of the family's 1533-position model. Lineage: Bacteria; Bacillati; Bacillota; Clostridia; Lachnospirales; Lachnospiraceae. The record is from RNAcentral.